GACGAACGCUGGCGGCGUGCUUAACACAUGCAAGUCGAACGGAAAGGCCCUGCUUGCAGGGUACUCGAGUGGCGAACGGGUGAGUAACACGUGGGUGAUCUGCCCUGCACUUCGCGAUAAGCCUGGGAAACUGGGUCUAAUACCGGAUAGGAGCCAUUUUUAGUGUGAUGGUUGGAAAGUUUUUUCGGUGUAGGAUGAGCUCGCGGCCUAUCAGCUUGUUGGUGGGGUAAUGGCCUACCAAGGCGGCGACGGGUAGCCGGCCUGAGAGGGUGGACGGCCACAUUGGGACUGAGAUACGGCCCAGACUCCUACGGGAGGCAGCAGUGGGGAAUAUUGCACAAGGGGCGCAAGCCUGAUGCAGCGACGCCGCGUGGGGGAGGACGGCCUUCGGGUUGUAAACUCCUUUCGCUAGGGACGAAGCUUUUUGUGACGGUACCUAGAUAAGAAGCACCGGCUAACUACGUG
This 465-nucleotide ribosomal RNA is filed under the name uncultured bacterium. RNAcentral describes it as "partial 16S ribosomal RNA". It matches the Rfam family "Bacterial small subunit ribosomal RNA", at positions 28 to 507 of the family's 1533-position model. The record is from RNAcentral.